AUUGAACGCUGGCGGAAUGCUUUACACAUGCAAGUCGAACGGCAGCACGGACUUCGGUCUGGUGGCGAGUGGCGAACGGGUGAGUAAUGUAUCGGAACGUGCCCAGUCGUGGGGGAUAACGUAGUGAAAAUUACGCUAAUACCGCAUACGAUCUAUGGGUGAAAGCGGGGGAUCGCAAGACCUCGCGCGAUUGGAGCGGCCGAUAUCAGAUUAGGUAGUGGGUGGGGUAAAGGCCCAUCAAGCCAACGAUCUGUAGCUGGUCUGAGAGGACGACCAGCAACACUGGAACUGAGACACGGUCCAGACUCCUACGGGAGGCAGCAGUGGGGAAUUUUGGACAAUGGGCGAAAGCCUGAUCCAGCCAUUCCGCGUGCAGGAUGAAGGCCCUCGGGUUGUAAACUGCUUUUGUACAGAACGAAAAGGUUUCUACUAAUACUAGGAGCUCAUGACGGUACUGUAAGAAUAAGCACCGGCUAACUACGUGCCAGCCGCCGCCGUAA
RNAcentral lists this ribosomal RNA (500 nucleotides) under uncultured bacterium. RNAcentral's name for it is "partial 16S ribosomal RNA". It matches the Rfam family "Bacterial small subunit ribosomal RNA", at positions 30 to 523 of the family's 1533-position model. The record is from RNAcentral.